AGAACCCACACUGACCUCCCAGCACACUCCCUGCACAACCAUGCCUUUCCUGCUUGCAAGGCCCACUGUCCAGACCUGCCUCUGGCAGGAGAAGCUGAAAAGUCACACCGAGGACCAUUGAGUCAUCCAUCAUUCCAUUCAGUAGAAGGAUAAACAGGGGGGUGUCCCAGCUCCCCUGCUGCUUAUGGUCCCACAAAAGAGAAGGAAGUAUGAAGAGGAGAUGAGCAGGAAGCAGAAUCCAAGGUGCCCUGGGAAAGGGAAGUGAGAGGAUGCCAGGGGGAUGGAGGUCUAGACCCUCCGGUAAAAGUUGGAACUCAAAUAGGGCCUUCAGGAAAGAAGAGGAGCUCUCCCAGCCGUCGGGGAGAAGAGCAUUCCAGAACGUUGAACUGGUAAGGGCACAGGCAGAGACAUGGCCGUGGCCCAUCCUCAUAUCAUCUAGCGAGGCUGGAGAAGUGGGCAGCAAGAGACGAGUCUGGAAAGGAAGACUGAGGCCAAAUGAGGGAGACUUCAGCACGAACCUGUAGCGUCAGGAGGUUUUCUUCCGCUGAAAGGGAAGAUGUGUUGAUAGUUUGGAGCAGUGGAAGGAUGUGGUUGAAUCUGUGCUUUGGAAAGACUAAAGCCCGCCAGGCUUGUCCGUCCACGGGAUUCUCCAGGCAAGAAUACUUCAGUGGGUCGUCAUUUCCUCCAAGGCAGCAGGGGAGACCAUUCAAAUUAAUGCUGCAAGUUGGUUGUACCCAGAGUGGCCGGGUGUCUUUUGAUUGCUAUAAAAGGUAUAAUCAGAAAGGAAGAGACCCUGAAAGAUGAUGGCUUGAAUAAACAUGGCUGCAGCCUGUUGAGAAUGUGCCAAGCACUGUGCUAAACUCCUCCCUCCAAGACCUCAUGGCAGUUUGGCAAGAAAGUUGCUCGAUGCCCACGGAUCACUAUGCUCAGCUGAUGAGAGGAAACAGACAUGAGCAAAACUGAGGCACGCUCACCACCACUUGAUAACAGAGUGAUCUGAACCCAGGACUGUCUGCUGCUGCAGCCCACCUCUGGGUCACUCCACACACCACCCUCCCUCGAGGAGAACUGGCCCAGCCCUCCUGGUAUCUGCUGAGCCCUGGCUCUGUGAGCUCUUUAAGCAAGCUUCAGAGUUUCAUUUGGUUUCCUGAGUUGGCUUCCAGACCAAGGAGAGCGCUUUCUGGUUAUAAAUUAUUGAGCUGACUUCCUGCCACAAAUCAGUCUCCUGUGAGUCUGGCUAUGGGGGCCAGUUUUUCCAGGUCCUGAGUGACUCUGGAGAAAGGCAUUCCAGAGGUUGGACGGUCAGGGCAGAGCCCCACCCCUAGGGCUCUGACAGUAGCCUGGCAGCGCUGGGUCCAGCCUUGACUGGACGGCCAGGGGCCAGGGUGGAUGGGAUAAACUGAGAGACUCCCUUCUGUCCCCACCACUGCUCAGCCCUUGAGCCCUCGGGGACCCUUGGGGAAGGGGGCUCGGCUUCUCCUUUCUCGGGUUCCUCCCUCCUUGCCUGCAUUCAAAGUCUCCACUUGGCUGCUUGCCUGGGAAAGGAGGAGAAAAAGAGAAGAAAAAGAAAAGAGGAGGAAAUAGGGGGAACCAAGAGCAGGAAAGAACACCAUCUGCCUGUGGUUUGGUGUAGAGGGGAAGGCAUGGGGGCCGUCCCCCCCCUACCAGGAUCACAAAUGCUAUCUUCCCACCCACCCAUCACUCACCACUUGGGGGGCAAAGCUUAGCCAAGCUCAGCACAAUGAUAAAAUUGAGAUGCAGAUUCCUUCCCAUUGCUCUGAAUAGAGCAGAUUGGAUACGGAUUUCCCCCUUUUCUUCCCAUUUAGACCAUCUGGGCGGCUGGGGCCCCAGAGAAGAUUGGGACCAGGUGGGGGAGGGGCAGAGGUUUCCUAGCACUUUUCAGCUCUGAAACCUCAGGGUGAGGGUAACAGAUGCCACCCCCACCAUAUCCCCUUCCCUGGGGCAAGUUUGUUCUCUGUCUUUGUAUUCUGCUCUCCGGGCUGGGCGGGGCUAGCUGGAGUCGCCUCUCCUCUGUCCUAGCAAACUCCAAGUGGUGCGUUUGUCAUCAGGGUCUGCCGUCCUUCCUGCAGGCCCACCCACAUCCCCUAACUGCAAAUAAACCUAUGGGGAGGAUGGAAGGGAAAAUGCGAUCAGAGAAAGAUGAUAGGAAGGGCUAUUAAAGAUUGCUUUAAGCCUGAGGAAAGUGAAGCUUGGGGAAGAGUAUCCAGCUUAAGGUUGGGGAAGGAGCUGGUGGGAAAACCAAGACUAGAUAAUAACAACAGCAGCAACAAAGACCAUGUUAUUUUGUAUCAGGAUGUGUUCUAUGCUCUUUGUAUUAUGCCAUUUAAUCCACACAAUAACCCUACAAAGUAGGUACGAUUAUCAUGCCUAUUAGCCCAUUUCAUAGAUGGGCAAACUGAGGAACAGACCUGUUAAGUAACUCGUAUAAGGCCAAACUGGUAGAAGUCAGACCCAAAUCCAGGUGGUGGGGCUCCAGAGCCUGCCCCUCGCACGGUCUCAGCACACCACCCAGGAAAAUGGUAUUAUUUGACAGACCCUUGGGAGUGGAGACAUGAGUGGACAUGACUGAGUGACUGAACUGAACUGAUCUUGUAACAUAAAUUUAUUUCCUGUUUCAUAGCUAAAUAAUUUUCCAUUAUGUAGCUCUAACUCACUUUCUUUACUCAUCAAUCAGUUGAUGGACAUUUGGGUUGAUUGGGAAGAUCUCCUGGAGAAGGAAAUGGCAACCCACUCCAGUAUUCUUGCCUGGACAAUCCUACGGAUGGAGGAGCCUGGUGGGCUGCAGUCCAUGGGGUCGCUAGGAGUCGGACACGACUGAGCGACUUCACUUUCACUUUGGGAGUGGAGCUCAGGCUGCUCCAGUAAGCAUUUGCAGAUGGGGAAACUUAAAAAACAGCCCACAGCCAUUCUGUAUUUAUAAUCACAAAAUCUAGACUUGUUCCUCUGAACAGAGUAUAUCAACACAGAGUUAGAACUGGAAAUAAGAAUAGAAAGGGAAUAUUUACAUCGCUUGGCAAAAGAAGCAAGUGUGAACCUCGUGAGGAGAUGGCAUGUGGCUGGACCAAACACGGGAGGAGAGAACCUGGCGCUCAGGGAGACACCAUGAAUUAGAUCCAGGGCCCUGCCUCAUGGUUGCAGCACAGCUUAAGUGAAAUAAGGAGGCGCUCAGAUUCAUCCGGAAGUUUCUUGAGCAGAAGCUUGGUGCCUAGGAUGGCAUGAGGAAGUCCAUGGCCCUCCUGCAGCCACACUGCUGGUUGCCUCCUUGACAGUCACUUGCUCAUCAUCCUCAGCAACAAACCCCAUGAUACACAAAGUGGCAUCAUUCCCAGUCCCAGAAAAAUGUGAUGUCCUGAGCUACAGUGGCCAUUUCCAUACCCAGAGAGGAUAGGUUCCAUGCCCUCCCAGGAAGGAAGAUACAGACUCUCCUGAUGCUAUCAUGUCACUGAGGGAAGACCAGCAGCUGCUGCCACCUCCAAACCUCUUGUUAAGUGAUUAAAUGAGUCCUUAUGUCUAAAGCUAUUUUAAGUGGUGUUUUCUGUUUCUUGAAGUUGAAAACAUUCCUAAGUGGCACACUCCCUCCUGUAAAAUCUCUUCUUUCCAGGGAGAUAACGAGCUGACCACUUUUAAUUAGGGUUACGUCAAGAGCAGACACUGCUGCUCAGAGCAUUUGCCAACCUAGACUGCCUAGGAUGUGGGGUGAAGGAUG
Molecule: long non-coding RNA, 3727 nt
Organism: Bubalus bubalis (water buffalo)
Lineage: Eukaryota; Metazoa; Chordata; Mammalia; Artiodactyla; Bovidae
Exons: 4
Source: RefSeq, a predicted model, not a curated record